CUAUGUUUAGAUUUAAGUUUAAAGUUAAUUAAAUUACUAAUAAAUACUAUUAAAUUAUAGCAUGAUAUGCUACUAAACCUUUCUGAUGUUUGAAGUAAUGCAUCAUUAAAAUUUUCUUGAUGUAAAAUAUUUAGGCUUCGUUUGCGACGGCUUUCUCAUUAUUUCUUGAAGCAUUUUAUAGUAAGAAAUUAAAAUUCUUGUGCUAAAAAAUUGAUUUAAGAAGCAGUAAGAAAACCGUCUCAAAUGAAUCCUUAAUGUAAAUUAUCAACAGAAGAUUAUGUUGGAACUUCCAACAUAAAAGAUUCAUAAUUCUGUCUAAAAUUUCAAUAGAUUUCCAACAAAAAAAUUUUUUUUUUCAUCUUUUUCAAUGAGGCUUAAAUUUUCUUUUUUUUUUUGGUUGCAUGGAAUGUAAGUUUUUCAAGAGAAAACUGGCUUUCUCUACCAAAUCAAUUCUUUCUGAUUCUGUAGCUCUCCAUAUAUAUAUUAAUUUCAAAAUCUGUAAAGAGAUUUUUUGUAGAAUUUUUAUACGAGUAAUUGGGAUCUGAUUCAAGGUCGAAUGGUCAACGAAAAAGAGGUGCAUGAGCUGCAUAAGAACCUGUUGCAUGAGAGAUCAGUCUGAAAGUCUGUAUGCAUGGAGGCUGGAGCUGAUAUAUAAUUAAAUAACAGGUAGCUGGACAUGAAGCAAGACUGGCUUGGUCAAUUGAAGAACUAUAUCUGUACUGAGAGAUAUCUCUGCAUGAGGGAUCAGAUGUUGAUAAAAAACCCUAAAUAACUCUGGCUAUGGUUAUUGUAUUAUUUAGGGUUUUUUUAAUAGAAGUUUUUUUUUUUU
Molecule: long non-coding RNA, 829 nt
Organism: Dendrobium catenatum
Lineage: Eukaryota; Viridiplantae; Streptophyta; Magnoliopsida; Asparagales; Orchidaceae
Exons: 2
Source: RefSeq, a predicted model, not a curated record